Regulatory RNA element from Aeromicrobium sp. Root344, 175 nucleotides. It matches the Rfam family "c-di-AMP riboswitch aptamer (ydaO/yuaA leader)". From Rfam's summary of the family: This family represents a conserved RNA structure found upstream of the ydaO and yuaA genes in Bacillus subtilis and related genes in other bacteria. The ydaO/yuaA element is thought to act as a genetic "off" switch for the ydaO and yuaA genes in its native state. The record is from Rfam. NCBI's taxonomy places the organism in Bacteria, Bacillati, Actinomycetota, Actinomycetes, Propionibacteriales, Nocardioidaceae.
UCGGGCGCACCGCCGAAUUGCCACAGUCAUGGGGAAGAUGUCUGAGGCGAACCGGGGACCCAUGUGUGUGGGGUGAAUCGGAACGGACUGGUCUGUCACAGGACUGGCACGGACCGUAGGGCAGACCUUGGCCCGAACCCGUCAGCUCACCCGGUAGGCGUCGAGGCAACAUAGG